GGGUCCGUAGCUCAGUCAGGCUAGAGCAUCGGACUCUUAAUCCGAGGGUCGCGGGUUCAAUUCCCGUCGGACCCGCCA
Molecule: transfer RNA, 78 nt
Filed under: Flavobacterium sp.
Lineage: Bacteria; Pseudomonadati; Bacteroidota; Flavobacteriia; Flavobacteriales; Flavobacteriaceae
Also listed under: 3 other names
Description: tRNA-Lys
Rfam family: tRNA
About the family: Transfer RNA (tRNA) molecules are approximately 80 nucleotides in length.
Source: RNAcentral